ACGAACGCUGGCGGCGUGCCUAACACAUGCAAGUCGAGCGGGAUUUAUUUCGGAGAUUCGGUUGAAGGAAAUAGAUGAGAGCGGCGGACGGGUGAGUAACGCGUGAGCAAUCUGCCCUGUGAGGGGGAUAGCCUCUGGAAACGGAGAUUAAUACCGCAUAACACUGAUUUAUCGCAUGACUAAUCAGUCAAAACUACGGUGCCACAGGAUGAGCUCGCGUCUCAUUAGCUAGUUGGUGGGGUAAAGGCCUACCAAGGCGACGAUGAGUAGCCGACCUGAGAGGGUGAUCGGCCACACUGGAACUGAGACACGGUCCAGACUCCUACGGGAGGCAGCAGUGGGGAAUAUUGCGCAAUGGGGGAAACCCUGAACCGCAGCAACGCCGCGUGAGUGAUGAAGGCUUUCGAGUCGUAAAACUCUGUCUUCGGGGACGAAUAAUGACGGUACCCGAGGAGGAAGCCCCGGCUAACUACGUGCCAGCAGCCGC
Molecule: ribosomal RNA, 487 nt
Filed under: uncultured bacterium
Lineage: Bacteria
Description: bacterial SSU rRNA
Rfam family: Bacterial small subunit ribosomal RNA
Source: RNAcentral